GAAUUCGAUUCAGGCCUAACACAUGCAAGUCGAACGGCAGCACGGACUUCGGUCUGGUGGCGAGUGGCGAACGGGUGAGUAAUGCAUCGGAACGUGCCCAAUCGUGGGGGAUAACGUAGCGAAAGUUACGCUAAUACCGCAUACGAUCUAAGGAUGAAAGCGGGGGAUCGCAAGACCUCGCGCGAAUGGAGCGGCCGAUGUUAGAUUAGGUAGUUGGUGGGGUAAAGGCUCACCAAGCCGACGAUCUAUAGCUGGUCUGAGAGGAUGAUCAGCCACACUGGGACUGAGACACGGCCCAGACUCCUACGGGAGGCAGCAGUGGGGAAUUUUGGACAAUGGGCGCAAGCCUGAUCCAGCCAGUCCGCGUGCAGGAUGAAGGCCCUCGGGUUGUAAACUGCUUGGUACAGAACGAAAAGCUCUGGG
This 423-nucleotide ribosomal RNA is filed under the name uncultured bacterium. RNAcentral's name for it is "bacterial SSU rRNA". It matches the Rfam family "Bacterial small subunit ribosomal RNA", at positions 39 to 459 of the family's 1533-position model. The record is from RNAcentral.